Molecule: ribosomal RNA, 232 nt
Filed under: uncultured bacterium
Lineage: Bacteria
Description: partial 16S ribosomal RNA
Rfam family: Bacterial small subunit ribosomal RNA
Source: RNAcentral
GACGAACGCUGGCGGCGUGCUUAACACAUGCAAGUCGAGCGGUAAGGCCCUUUCGGGGGUACGACGAGCGGCGAACGGGUGAGUAACACGUGGGUGACCUGCCCUCAGCUCUGGGAGUAAGCCUGGGAAACCGGGGUACUAUACUGGAUAUGACUCCAUGACGCAUGUUGUGGGGUGGAAAGCCUUGUGCGGCUGAGGAUGGGCCCGCGGCCUAUCAGCUUGUUGGUGGGGU